UUACGAUGAUCAUUUAGAGGUUUAUUUUGAACAACUGGCAAUUCCACGAAUGAUGGAAUAAAACAUAUGAAGUAGAAGGACUGGAACCUCCAGAAAAAGUACUUUAAGUUACCUACAGGUGAUCCUAGUCAGGCAAAUGAAAACAGUAGCCUAAAGUGUCAGUUUCAACCAGAAAAUAACAGCUCUGAUUUCUCAUGGCUCACACUCUUCUGAAACGACUCGGGUAGAGGCUGAGGAAGGCCGUGUUGUUUGUCUACCUGGGACUACACCUACUGAAAGAAGUUCUCAAGUUCUGACUGAGUUCUAAAAUUUUUUGAAGAUUAGAAU
RNAcentral lists this long non-coding RNA (327 nucleotides) under Homo sapiens (human). RNAcentral's name for it is "non-protein coding lnc-FAM153C-1:12". The record is from RNAcentral. Lineage: Eukaryota; Metazoa; Chordata; Mammalia; Primates; Hominidae.